GAGGUCUUAGCUUAAGUUAAAGUGUUUGAGUUGCAAUCAGGUGAUGUAAAUUAGAGUUUUACAGGUCUU
Molecule: transfer RNA, 69 nt
Filed under: Paroedura ibityensis
Lineage: Eukaryota; Metazoa; Chordata; Lepidosauria; Squamata; Gekkonidae
Description: tRNA-Ala
Rfam family: tRNA
About the family: Transfer RNA (tRNA) molecules are approximately 80 nucleotides in length. Their secondary structure includes four short double-helical elements and three loops (D, anti-codon, and T loops).
Source: RNAcentral